Molecule: long non-coding RNA, 979 nt
Filed under: Homo sapiens (human)
Lineage: Eukaryota; Metazoa; Chordata; Mammalia; Primates; Hominidae
Description: HSALNT0292929
Source: RNAcentral
CUUUUUCUGUUUUUCCUUUCUCAAGUCUUGCCUUUCUUAAUCCAUUCUUCACACUACAGCCAAAGAAAUGGAGAAAGCAAGACUCUUAGAAAUAAUUUUUAUUUUUUACAGCAAAGAAUGCUUUCAAUUAGAUAACAGAUUAUUUUGUUGUAUUUUCCAGCUUCCCUACAGAAGAACAGUGAUUUCACAAGAAGUACAAAUGAUAUGAUCAUGGCCACAGACUUAGCAAUUUUUUUCCAACCAGGAAUCACAGACAAGGAUUUCACAGAAUCAACUGAACCAUUAUUUGUUCAACUUGCUAAAACCUGAGUCAACAGUUCUUUAAGAUCCCAAACUCUGGGAUUCUCAGUUUAGAAGUGCGGAGCAAGGAGUCUGUGAGACUCUGUGGGCUAGAAUACAUACGGACAGUCAUCUAUAUCUGUGCUAGCUCCAGGUGGAGAAGGCAUCAGGAGGGGAUCCCUCAAGCUCAGCAAGCUGAGACAGGAAACUCCUUCCAGCUCCCACAUAAACGUGAGUUUUCUGAGGAAAAUCCAGCGCAAAACCUUCCGAAGGUGGAUGCCUCAGGGGAAGACCGUCUUUGGGGUGGACAGAUGCCCACUGAAGAGCUUUGGAAGUCAAAGAAGCAUUCAGUGAUGUCAAGACAAGAUUUACAAACUUUGUGUUGCACUGAUGGCUGUUCCAUGACUGAUUUGAGUGCUCUUUGCUAAGACAAGAGCAAAUACCCAAUGGGUGGCAGAGCUUUAUCACAUGUUUAAUUACAGUGUUUUACUGCCUGGUAGAACACUAAUAUUGUGUUAUUAAAAUGAUGGCUUUUGGGUAGGCAAAACUUCUUUUCUAAAAGGUAUAGCUGAGCGGUUGAAACCACAGUGAUCUCUAUUUUCUCCCUUUGCCAAGGUUAAUGAACUGUUCUUUUCAAAUUCUACUAAUGCUUUGAAAUUUCAAAUGCUGCGCAAAAUUGCAAUAAAAAUGCUAUAAACCA